Molecule: ribosomal RNA, 253 nt
Filed under: uncultured bacterium
Lineage: Bacteria
Description: partial 16S ribosomal RNA
Rfam family: Bacterial small subunit ribosomal RNA
Source: RNAcentral
UACGUAGGGUGCAAGCGUUAAUCGGAAUUACUGGGCGUAAAGCGUGCGCAGGCGGCUGGUCAAGUCCGAUGUGAAAUCUCCCGGCUUAACUGGGAAACUGCAUCGGAAACUGAUCGGCUUGAAGGUGGGAGAGGGUAGUGGAAUUCCCGGUGUAGUGGUGAAAUGCGUAGAUAUCUGGAGGAACACCGGUGGCGAAGGCGGCAUCCUGGACCGGCAUUGACGCUGAGGAGCGAAAGCCAGGGGAGCAAACGGG